GGAUUUUACUUGAGGAGUCUCACUCAUACCUGAUUUAGAUUAUGUAGAUGAUGAGAUUUGGAACUUUUGAGCUGAUGCUAUUAAAGUGAGAUUUUGAACUUGAGUUGAUGCUGUAAUGGGUUGAAUCUUUUUGGGGGU
This is a non-coding RNA of Ceratotherium simum simum (southern white rhinoceros), 138 nucleotides long. Lineage: Eukaryota; Metazoa; Chordata; Mammalia; Perissodactyla; Rhinocerotidae. The record is from RefSeq and is a predicted model, not a curated record.